UGACGGUACCUGAAGAAUAAGCACCGGCUAACUACGUGCCAGCAGCCGCGGUAAUACGUAGGGUGCAAGCGUUAAUCGGAAUUACUGGGCGUAAAGCGUGCGCAGGCGGUCAUGUAAGACAGAUGUGAAAUCCCCGGGCUCAACCUGGGAACUGCAUUUGUGACUGCAUGACUGGAGUACGUCAGAGGGGGGUGGAAUUGCGCGUGUAGCAGUGAAAUGCGUAGAUAUGCGCAAGAACACCAAUGGCGAAGGCAGCCCCCUGGGACGCAACUGACGCUCAUGCACGAAAGCGUGGGGAGCAAACAGGAUUAGAUACCCUG
This 320-nucleotide ribosomal RNA is filed under the name uncultured bacterium. RNAcentral describes it as "bacterial SSU rRNA". It matches the Rfam family "Bacterial small subunit ribosomal RNA", at positions 470 to 789 of the family's 1533-position model. The record is from RNAcentral.